This 383-nucleotide ribosomal RNA is filed under the name uncultured bacterium. RNAcentral's name for it is "bacterial SSU rRNA". It matches the Rfam family "Bacterial small subunit ribosomal RNA", at positions 28 to 417 of the family's 1533-position model. The record is from RNAcentral.
GACGAACGCUGGCGGCGUGCUUAACACAUGCAAGUGGAGCGACGAACCAGGGCUUGCCCUGGGGCAGAGCCGCGAACGGGUGAGUAACACGUGGGUUACCUGCCCCGAUGACCGGGACAACCCGAGGAAACUCGGGCUAAUACCGGAUGUGGUCUUCGGACGAAAGGAAGCUUCGGCCUCCGCAUCGGGAUGGGCCCGCGGCGCAUUAGCUUGUUGGUGGGGGUAAUGGCCUACCAAGGCGACGAUGCGUAGCUGGUCUGAGAGGACGAUCAGCCACACUGGGACUGAGACACGGCCCAGACUCCUACGGGAGGCAGCAGUGGGGAAUCUUGCGCAAUGCGCGAAAGCGUGACGCAGCAACGCCGCGUGAGGGAAGACGGCCU